AGGUUUUUCUUGCCUAUUCAUUUAGGAGAUUGAAAUUUAAAUCCAGAUAUAUUUUUCUAAUGUAGGUCUUUUAAUAUGUACCUUAAUGGCAUAUUUGUAGGCCUCAAUAACAAGAAGUGGGUCAUUUAGUACUAACAAUGACUAAAUUUUCAUUAUUUUUCUAAUCCUAAGGAUUAGGUAUGUACCAAACGCCCCUCGC
Molecule: long non-coding RNA, 199 nt
Filed under: Vigna radiata
Lineage: Eukaryota; Viridiplantae; Streptophyta; Magnoliopsida; Fabales; Fabaceae
Description: long non-coding RNA (VRAD_LNC011029)
Source: RNAcentral